This 890-nucleotide ribosomal RNA is filed under the name Pseudoechria longicollis. RNAcentral's name for it is "LSU rRNA". It matches the Rfam family "Eukaryotic large subunit ribosomal RNA", at positions 37 to 962 of the family's 3401-position model. The record is from RNAcentral. Lineage: Eukaryota; Fungi; Ascomycota; Sordariomycetes; Sordariales; Schizotheciaceae.
UGCAUAUCAAUAAGCGGAGGAAAAGAAACCAACAGGGAUUGCCCUAGUAACGGCGAGUGAAGCGGCAACAGCUCAAAUUUGAAAUCUGGCAACAGCCCGAGUUGUAAUUUGCAGAGGAAGCUUCUGGCGACGCACUGUCUAAGUCCCCUGGAACGGGGCGCCACAGCGGGUGAGAGCCCCAUGUGAUGGCUGCGGACCCAGUGUGAAGCUCCUUCGACGAGUCGAGUAGUUUGGGAAUGCUGCUCAAAAUGGGAGGUAAAUUCCUUCUAAAGCUAAAUAUUGGCCAGAGACCGAUAGCGCACAAGUAGAGUGAUCGAAAGAUGAAAAGCACUUUGAAAAGAGGGUUAAACAGCACGUGAAAUUGUUGAAAGGGAAGCGCUCAUGACCAGACUUGCGCUGGGCUGAUCAUCCGGUGUUCUCACCGGUGCACUCUGCCCGGCUCAGGCCAGCAUCGGUUUUGGUGGGGGGAUAAAGGCGCCGGGAACGUAGCUCCUCCGGGAGUGUUAUAGCCCGGUGUGCAAUACCCCCGCUGGGACCGAGGUCCGCGCAUCGCAAGGAUGCUGGCGUAAUGGUCAUCAGCGACCCGUCUUGAAACACGGACCAAGGAGUCAAGGUUUUGCGCGAGUGUUUGGGUGUCAAACCCGCACGCGUAAUGAAAGUGAACGUAGGUGAGAGCUUCGGCGCAUCAUCGACCGAUCCUGAAGUUUACGGACGGAUUUGAGUAGGAGCGUUAAGCCUUGGACCCGAAAGAUGGUGAACUAUGCUUGGAUAGGGUGAAGCCAGAGGAAACUCUGGUGGAGGCUCGCAGCGGUUCUGACGUGCAAAUCGAUCGUCAAAUCUGAGCAUGGGGGCGAAAGACUAAUCGAACCAUCUAGUAGCUGGGUACCGCA